This 85-nucleotide transfer RNA is filed under the name Candidatus Beckwithbacteria bacterium CG23_combo_of_CG06-09_8_20_14_all_34_8. Its description in RNAcentral is "tRNA-Leu". It matches the Rfam family "tRNA". Rfam says of the family: Transfer RNA (tRNA) molecules are approximately 80 nucleotides in length. Their secondary structure includes four short double-helical elements and three loops (D, anti-codon, and T loops). The record is from RNAcentral. Lineage: Bacteria; Candidatus Beckwithiibacteriota.
GCCCGAGUGGUGAAAUUGGUAGACACGCGAGACUUAAAAUCUCGUGACCUUUACGGUUGUGUGGGUUCGAUUCCCGCCUCGGGCA